AGGCAGAAGGCUGUGAUGGGGAAAGGAGCACAUGGACAGGCAUUAAGCUGACAACUGUCAAGAACUGUCCCCUGCCAUUUCACCUGAGCUGACCUGAUCUCCCCAGGGGAAUGAGCCUCGUCUUGCAAGUCCCCUUCUUUGGGUCCCUGGCAGCGCUGCUGCAGGAUACAAGGAACAGGAUGCUAUGACGAGAUAUGCAUUGAGAAGCUUCAGUCCUGCCUCCAUCCUUAUCUUCUUCUCCCUGGACCAAAAGUGAUAAUUGUCAUUUGAUCCUUAUUUAUUUUUAGAAAUAAAACUCUUAUGCAGAUACCAACACAUACAAAUCUGUAUUCUUAUACCCUCUAUUUCUUACACACAAGGUAGCAUAUUAUAUUCACUGCUUGACAUGUUACUAUAUUUAUUUGUACUUUAUUGAGCUAUAACAUAUACAGUAAAAUAUACAAAACAUAAUGCAUAGGCCAGUGAAUUUUUUCCUUUUUUUAAAUUUAUUUUUCUUGUAUGACUAUUAAAAACAGCUUUAUUGAGGUCCAAUUGAUAUAUAAUAGUAAACUGGAAUAUAUACACACCCAUGAACCAUCACCAUAAUUGAAAUAAUGAAAAUAAUCAUCACCUUCAAAAGUUUCCUCUUAGGCCAGGUGUGAUGGCUUAUGCUUGUAAUCCCAGCACUUUGAGAGUCUGAGGUGGGAGGAUCACUUGAGCCCAUGAGUUCAAGACCAGCCUGGACAACAUGGCAAAACUCCAUCUCCACAAAAAAAUACAAAAAUUAGGUGGUGUAUGUCUGUAGUCCCAGCUACUCAAGAGGCUGAGGCAGGGGGAUCUCCUGAGCCCAGGAUGUUGAGACUGCAGUGAGCCCUGAUCAUGCCCCUGCACUCCAGCCUGGGCGACAGAGUGAGAUCCUGUCUAUAAAUAAAGUUUCCUCUGGCCUCUAUAUUUUCUUAUUAGCUUGUAAAGGUGAGCAGAUUGAUGAGUUGGGUUGAAGAUAUCUAACAUUAAGCUGAUCACAACCUCAUGGUUCCUUCCUAGAGGCUCCUUUAGUUUCUUUCUUUUCUUUUCUUCUCUUCUCUUUUUUUUUUUUCCGAGACAGGGUCUCACUCUGUUGCCCAUGCUAGAGUGCAGUGGUAUGAUCAUAGCUCUCUGCAGUCUUAAAUUCCUGGUCUUAAGCAAUGCUCCUACUUCAGCCUCCCAAGUAGCUGGGACUACAGGGGUGUGCCACCAUGUCCGGCUAUUUUUUGUAGAGACAGAGUUUCACCAUGUUUCCCAGGCUGUUCUCCUAGUGUCAAGAGAUCUGCUCGCCUCAGCCUCCCAAAGUGCUGGGAUUACAGACAUGAGCCACCGUGACCAGCUGAGUCUGCUUUUGUUUCUUAAGAAUCCAGGAACUAGGUAAUAAAUGUAUGUCUUUGCUACUCCUAAGUCUUAUUAAUCACUUACAUUUCUGACAAUUAAUCAUUGGACCUCAAGGGACUUUGAUAAGAUUAAUUUGAAGUUCUCAGCAGUAGAAAGUUUAUUUUGUCAGUCUGCAAAGCUUCUGGUGUCAGAGGUUCUGGUUCAGGGCUGUUUGACUCAAAGAACCAAGGGACUCUUGGAAAAAGAAACAAGACUUACAUGGAAUUUCAGGAUCUCCAUUGUUUAUAAGCCAUAAUUCUGGGAAGAAGGAAAUGAACUCUAAUUAAGCACCUCUAUGGGUCAGAUACUUUAUAUAAAACAAAGAAUUUAAUCCUCAACAAUAACCUGCCACAGAGAUGAGAUUAUCACCAUUUUUACAGAAGAGGAAAUAGGAUCUGAGAGCCUAAGCAACUUGCCCAAGGUGACUCAGUAAGUGGCAUGAGCUGGAGUUGAAACCCAGAGCUAUAUUGCUAUAGAGCCCAUCCUUUCUAUUUCAUGGCCCUACUCUCUGUCCCCUGCCCCUAGAUAAUAUUAACAAUUGAUAGACAGAUAAGUAGAUAGAUAGAUAAAUAGAUACAGAUACACACACAUAUAUCUGUAUAUCAGGAUGUGCUAUAUAUUACAUUUUAUUUAUUUCCAAAGGCCUUAGGAAAAAAACAAUAGCAGUGUAGAACAUGAAGGCAAAUGGUUACAAAAUACAUGGAUACGUGUAUUUUACUGCUGAUAUAAAUUUAUGUCUAUUGAGUUAUUCCCAAGUUAACAAGGACCGAGAAGUUACUGUGGCCUAAGAAUUGUGCUCUGCAUGUUGGUAGAGACAAAAUAAGCAGCGUCUACUGGCAAAGACUGUAUCAUGUUGCCGGAGAAGUGAAGCAUUAAGUAGAAACUGUGUGUAGUGGCUGUGAGGGCAGCAUGGUUCUGCAAAGGGCUUGAUUGGCGGGAAGAGGAUUAGAUUCCCGCAUGUGUAGUUGGGAAUCUGAUCUGUAAAAGCCAGACACUGAGGUUUUGAUGUCUUUCUCCAGUUCACACAAAGAGCUAAUAGCUGGGCUGGGACUAUGUCUUAAGCAUCCUGGAUAGUUAACAUCUUACCAACCUCUGUCUUCCCCAAAAGCUGCAAUCUCCAUAUGCAGGAGCCAACAUCAGUUUGCUGCAAGGGAGGAGAAUGAGGACUAUUGUAUCAACUGGAGUCCCAUAGAAAACAAAUGACACACUCAAAAGGGGUGAUCAAGAGUUCCAUGGAGGGGCCGUUGACAAAGGUAGAGCCGGUUUAGAGAAAAGCAAUAAGGGAUGCGGAAGCCUCAGGAUCAGCAGCAGCAGGAAGCCACUGGCACCGAGUGCCAAGGGGUAGGGAGCGGUAGCUGAGGUGUGGUGAGCUGUAGGUACAGAAGCACUGCUAUUGCUGCAUCAGAGGUAUCAAUAUUCCAUCCUCACUCUCUCAAUGCCCUCUGAUCACACGCCUGGUGCCCUGGAAGACAGAGGUCACUGGAGCUGUGUGGUUGCAGUCGUUAGAGGUCAGCUUCCUGGCUGCAGCACAGUGCAGAAAGGAAAUGGACAGAGAGUGGUUCUGGCAGGACAGAUGGAGACUAUCCAGUGCAAAAUCCAUGCUGGGGAAAUUUAAGAGUUUUCUUGGGAGUGCAUUAAAGGAGCUAUUGCAGGUGCCUUAGAAUCUCAGAGUCUUAAAGUCACUCCCUUCCAUAAUCCAAUAGCUUGUUCUUGUUCUCAGGAAAGCUCUAUAAACCCAGGGCCUUAUUCUUAUUGUAGUCAUCAUUUCCAGCAGAGCACAGAUUCAAGAGCCAGCUGUUUAACUCAUGACCUUGCUGAAGAGGUGGUAAUGGGGCUAUUCUUAGUGAUCACAUUGUUAUGGGUUAGCAACUUGAUGUUCAAGGUAGUGGGCACCUAGAUAUCUCUGAAUGAUGGUGUUUGUUGGUUUGAAAGAGGUCUCCCUCAUUAAUUCAUUAUCUUGCUGGAGAGGCAGUUGCAUUUUGGCUUCAGCCUUUAAAUGAUAGUGGCUCUAUUUCCGACUUGCUUGGAAACUAUUAUUAACUAUUAUUCCCAACAAUACACUUGCAUAUUUGACAAUCUAGAAACCAAAUUUAGCCAUGCAAAUUAUAGACAACUGCUCUCUUAUAAUGUCACUGUGAUGUCCCAGUUUUUAAGAAAUGGAAGAUUAACAAAGCCAGCUUCAAAUGCUUAAAACAAUAUUUUAUGUAAGAAGCCAUUUUCCCCCAGAGAUGCAUAGACCUGUAAAAUGUUUCCAGAGCUCUUUGGAAGAUAACCAAUAUUUCUCUCAAAGGAAGGGGAAGUAGCAGAACAUCAAAUAUACGCAAAAACCCUUCAAAGCUGGAAGUGCCAUCAGCUUACUAAGGAAUUAUGUUAAAAAUAAGGGAAACUUAAGAGGUCACUUAAAUGAUUUAAACACCAUAUUUUCCCUCUUCUCCAAAAAUCCCCCAAGACAAUGCUCAUAAUGUUAGACUGACCUUUUAGCAUAUGUGAUUUUAGUGAAAGACAUUUCUCUUCUUCUAAAUAUAUCUCAAACCAUUCUUAAAAGUAAUGAUUUCUCAUUAAGGCUCUUGCACCUGCUUGUGAAGAAAAGACAUCUGACCUUUAAAAAAUAUUCCAUGGGUCUGAAUCAUCUAAGUAUAUUGUAGCUUUAUUCUUGCAGACAAGGGAAACCAAGAAUGAUCUGGAUAAUGGAGAAACCUGUUAAUACAACUGGAUUUGAAUCACACUACUGGCUGAAAUUCACACAACCGGAUUGGGAUCCCACUGUGUAAUUUUAGGAUGCUCAAGCAUCAUGGCAUCAUUUCCAGUGGAGUCGCUGAACUUGUAGGUUGUCUACCUGACACCUCGAGGUCCUUACACCAAGAAGUCAGCUGUGAAGCCCGCUGAGUCCUCGGGUGGAUGUCUGCCACCACAUACAUAGCCUUUGCUGGUGGCUUGGAGAGCUGGCAGGUCAGCCACAGAAAGUGGGCAAGACCUAGUCAGUAGCGACAGGAUAUGUUCCCAGGAUGGACAGCUGCCUGAUAUGCGUUCAGUUCCAGUGCCAAAGCCAAGGGCUGCCAGUGCCCUUCCUUCAUGCUAAGGACUUCUCUCUCUCCAGGACAGCGGAUGCCUGUUUGGAAGGCUGGAUUGGACUGAGCCACAUGGCAGAGCCUUGGAGAUGGCAGGGGAGGGAAGUCGAAGACAUGGAGUGGUUUGACAUUUGUGCAUAGUAUGAAGAAAGAUCAUCAAGGCUGAAAUGUGUCUGCUAAGAGGCUUCAGCUCAUGUUUGCUAAUCUCCUGUAUGGUGAAACACUGGCACCCAGACAAACCCUCAUUCACAUCAGAACAAAGCGCUAGUUAUGUGUGUUGAAAUUCCUUAAAGAAAAUGUCUUGCAGGCUGCUGGGGAGUGCGUGAAUGCUGGAAAUGCUUCACCAAGAGUUACUCAAUGUCCUGGGAAGACGGUCUGCUGGCAUCUGAGGGCUCACCCUAGAGAAGAGUGGUUGUACUCCAGGGCACAUGGGUCUGGUGAGGACAGAGAAGCAUGGGUGGAUGGGUGGGUGGAGAUGAGGGUGGAUGUUUUCUCUGUAAUCGUCUCCGGCCAGGCUGGAGCCCGAACCAGACUACCCACUUUAUUAGUCCAUUGAGAAUAUCUAAAGUCAGGCUUCUCAGCACAGCUGCCAUUUCCCCUGCUUGGGACCAGAUUUUCCUGUUUUCUGAGGGCUUCCAAGUAAGUUGGAAGUUCCUUGGGUUUCCACAACUUUGACUUAAUGAAGAAACAAGGUCAAGAAUCAGAGGAAAGGUUUUUGGAUGGGCCUCAGAGGUCUGAAAUGGUUAGGUGGGAGUCUAAAGGUAUAGGAGAGAAACUAAAUCAGUUGUAGCCCCAGCUGUUUGGAGAUGAUGCCAGCAGAUGGGAUUGAGUAAGCGACCACAGGUUGCAGAGGGUGGCAGAUGGGAGGCGGAUGUGGAAAUGGGGUCCCAGUCAGAAAUGAACACCACUAGAGGAGCAGGAAGAAGGGCCAAGCAAGAGCAGUGGUUCUCAUUGUGGUUUCUGGACUAGCGGCGGCAGCAGCACCCACGAUGUAGAUGUCAACUCUUAACUCCACUCGGAAACCCACUGAAUCAGAAACUCAGGUGGUGAAGCCCAACCAGCGGUACUUGAAUAAGUCCUCCAGUGAGUCUGAUGGACACUAAAGUUUAAGAACCACUGAGUCAGGGAACCCCAAGGGAGGCAAUUGCUAAGGAACUGCAAGAGAGGAAUUAGGGGCUGGGCCAGGGGCCAGGCGCGGUGGCUCACACCUGUAAUCCCAGCACUUUGAGAGGCUGAGGCAGGAGAAUGGCUUGAGCCCAGGAGUUCAAGACUAGCCUGGGCAACAUAGUGAAACCCUGACUCUACAAAGAACACAAAAUUGGCCAGGCAUGGUGGUAGCCACCUGCAGUCCUAACUACUCGGGAGGAUCACUUGAGCCUGGGAGAUGGAGGUUGCAGUGAGCUGAGAUCACACCUCUGGGCUACAGCCUGGGUGAUAGAGCAAGACCCCAUCUCAAAAAAAAAAAAAAAAAAGACGGCAGGAUUAGGGAAACUUCUAGAAUGAGGAGGAGAUGGCCCUGAAAGCACAGGGGGACAAGGAGAGUGAACUGAAAAGUAGAAAGAAGUUCUUCUCCAUAAGAAAAAAAGGUGAUGAGAGCUACAAUAAAAAACUACUAGUCACAACGGCUGCAGCUCAAGGUAGCCUGGAUUCUUGAUAAGCACACACCCGCCACUGGUGUCACGCUGAAGCUGGAAGGACCGCCUCUGCUAACAACAGUGAAGAACAAAUGUGGAUGCAAAUGGCUCUUAGAAGUCAGACAAAGGGAAGUUGCAUUGCUGAGAUUCACCUGCAGGUCCCAGCAUGGCUCAUUUGUUCUCUGGAGUAGUGGGUUGAAUGGUAGCCCCCCGCCCCCAUAGAUAUCCUAACCCCUAGAAUCUGUGAACGUGAUCUUAUUGUGGCAGCAGGCCUGUAAUCCAAGCUACUCUGGAAGCUGAAGGGGGAGGAUUUCUUGAGGCCAGAGGUUCGAGACCGGCCUAGGCAACAUAGCAAGAGACCCCUUCCAUCUCCAAAAAAUGAAGGAUAUCCAGAUGAGAUCAUCCUGGAUUAUCUGAGUGGGUCUUAAAUCCAAUGACAUCCAAAUUUAUAAGAGAUGAAAGAGGAGGAAAAGAGAGAUAUGCAGAGGAGAAGGUGAUGGGAAGAUGGAGGCAGGAAUUGGAGUGACACAUCCAUAAACAUGUAGACAUAAAGGGAAUGCCUGUAGUCACCAGCAGUGGGAAGAGGUAAGGCGGGAUUGUCCCGCAGAGCCUUCAGAGGAGGCAUGGCCCUGCUAACACCUUGAUUUUUGGACUUCUGACCUCCAGAAAUGAAAGAAAAUAAAUUACUAUUGCUUUAAGCCACCAAAUUUGUGGUGAUUUAUUAUAGCAGCUCUAGGAAAUUAAUAUACCUGGCUUAAGGGAAGAGGCAUGGGAUUUGAAGACAGACAGACUGGUGUCUUGAACUUUUUGAAUGUUACUCCCUAGGGUGGGAUGUGAACUCUGAGUCACAGCAGUCCCCACGUGGCUUGAGUCCCUCAUUACUUUAGCUAUCUGCCUCCUAUGAGCAUCUUAGCUUUGUAUCCUCUGGGUAACUUCACCUCUCCAGUCUUCUCCACCUUUGACAUCUUAUUAUUCCAGCAAGGGGGGUGGGGAAGGUGGAUUACCUCAAAUCUUUGGAGCAAUGUUUGGGGAUGAUGUAGUCUACCAUCCUUUGAAUAGCUUGGCUGAUUUACCAUUGAGGAAGAAAGAAAUUUCUUCUUGAGAUGUAGUGUGAUGCCUUUUUCAGAACCAGCCACUCUAGUGAUUUUUAAUAAAAAAAAUUAUUGUCUCAUGGCUGGGUUUCUGUCAUUCCUUCCAGAAGGUGGGAGGCUGUGAGUUUGGAAAAUUAGUGUCUGGUGACUGUGGGUGAGAAGGCCCUUUCCUACAUAACAGAAGAAAUAAACAC
This 7370-nucleotide long non-coding RNA is filed under the name Homo sapiens (human). Its description in RNAcentral is "non-protein coding lnc-HMBOX1-5:6". The record is from RNAcentral. Lineage: Eukaryota; Metazoa; Chordata; Mammalia; Primates; Hominidae.